RNAcentral lists this ribosomal RNA (253 nucleotides) under uncultured bacterium. RNAcentral describes it as "partial 16S ribosomal RNA". It matches the Rfam family "Bacterial small subunit ribosomal RNA", at positions 524 to 776 of the family's 1533-position model. The record is from RNAcentral.
UACAGAGGUCUCAAGCGUUGUUCGGAUUCAUUGGGCGUAAAGGGUGCGUAGGCGGCAUGGUAAGUCGGAUGUGAAAUCCCGGGGCUCAACCCCGGAACUGCAUUCGAUACUGCUGAGCUAGAGUACUGGAGAGGAGAUUGGAAUUUACGGUGUAGCAGUGAAAUGCGUAGAUAUCGUAAGGAAGACCAGUGGCGAAGGCGGAUCUCUGGACAGUUACUGACACUGAGGAACGAAGGCCAGGGGAGCAAACGGG